GUAGCUUGUCUUCAUGAAGCUUGAGUGCCUAGUGCCCCAAGUGUGACAUCUCAAAUGGUUCACACAACAUCAUAAGCUUUUGGAAUAACCUUGAGAGAAAUGUAGAACACUUGAAAUCAGCUAGCCCUUCUCUAUUGUACAUAGUGGCCGAUUUUUCCUAACAAUAUGAUCUUUAUAUAGUGCCACACUUAGGGUAAACCCUAAUUGUCAUGGCUUUCCAUUUCCUUGGAUCCAUGGGUUCAAAUACACCAUGGAGCAUCCUAUGGGUUUUAGCCCAACUUGAUAAUCCAUGGAGCAUUAGCCAACUAUACAAGUAUGGAUGAUUUACACAAUCAACCCACAUAUUUAAUUAGUUUUCCAUUGAUCACUUAAUUAAUUCUUGAUCAAUACUAAUUAAAUAAUCCUAUUAAUAUAUUAGAACAUAUAAUAUAUUAAUAAUCCUUAAGUGUUAUAUCUCUCAUUAUAGUCUAUCCAAAUGCAUGAUGCCAUGCAACCCAAAUGGACCAUGCCGGGUCGGGUCAAGUCUUACCAAUUAUAGUUAUGGACUUAGACAUUAAUCCAACAGUCUCCCACUUGGAUAAGUCUAAAACUAUUAUUGCGUAUGACUUCAGGAACCAACUGGCAAUCGUAGCUCUCAAAAGCUUCUGUCGAACUCUGACCUUGUAGAUGAACUCUGACCUUUGUCAAUGACUUGUCCAUUAGAUAAGGGAUCAUAUAUUCCUCCAUUCUAGAUAUCAUAUGGACUGAGACAUGGAUUAUAAUCAUUCUCUCUGUCCAUUUGUUGUUUCCCGAUUUCCGAUUUAUGACGACUGACUAAUUGAACAAAUCAAAUCAGUUCUGGGCCGGCGGAGCACUUCCAUUUUUCAUCAUCAAAUCAUCGAGGGGCCCACAGAUAUCGCUUUUAUCCCGAAGGUAAAAGGAUGGAUAAACUUUGACUCAUAUGGCUUGUUCUACUACUUGUUAAAUCAUACAGAAAGGUACGUUUUAUAACACCGAGUUAUUGUAUGUGUCUUCGUGCAAUCAAUGUACAACCAACUCAUAGUAACAACUCAUAUAUCUAGGUUUGAAGAAUAUAAGAUAUUAUCAUCUCAUGAUCACUCGUGAUAAAAUCCAUGAAGUGAUUCCAAUGAGCGCGGGUUGAAUCCAAUACUCAGAACUUAUGAGCACUCAUGAGUGUUGUAGCCCAUUGUCCAACAUCAUAGACCUCUACAAGCCAACCCAUGGCAGUCUUAAUUCAUAUUUACUUCCAACAUAUAACCGACAGUGGAUGGUUUGAAUAACUUAGUCAUCUAUAACAAUGACCUAGUUAUUCUAGAAGUUAAAACAUGCAAAAUGAAUCAUAAUAAUAAUUGAAUCCAAUAUGGUAUCAAAACCUAUGAACAUAAAUAAAACACCUUUUAUUUAUCACCAUAUGAUUACACAUUAUUCAUUGUAUACUGUUUCAGCUAUCUACUUUAUUCUUGAAUUUAAAACAAUUGUUGUCCGAUGCUCCAAGCAUGUACACUAUGUUUUCUAAACACUAGUCAUGCCAUACACCAAGUAUGCAUACUAUGUUUGUCUAUGAACUUUACUUUGUGAAUUAGAUCAAUUGAACAUAACCCCAAUGAUCCUCUUUUCACAGUCCCAAAUCCUUACUGCAAAUGCAAGAAUUCCAAAUUCAUGCCAUUCACUGAAAUCGGUUAGAUUCUAAACUUAUAUGCAAUGAUCCUGUUGUAAUGAUUAUGCACAAAGUCAUAAGGACUUGACAAUAAACAUUACAGAGCAUUCCAAAUGAGAUUAACUCCUUGGAAACAUCCUUCUUGCAUUAAGUUUCCUAAUCUUACGCAUAUUGAAUAAUUUCUAACUUUGAAACAGUUCCAUAUUCCAUUUUGAUUAUCACUUCUGAACAAGAGUUGCCUCCUUACAGAUUAUGUCAAUAUGGUCCUUCCAGAAUUAUCACUAUACUUCCAACUNNNNNNNNNNNNNNNNNNNNNNNNNNNNNNNNNNNNNNNNNNNNNNNNNNNNNNNNNNNNNNNNNNNNNNNNNNNNNNNNNNNNNNNNNNNNNNNNNNNNNNNNNNNNNNNNNNNNNNNNNNNNNNNNNNNNNNNNNNNNNNNNNNNNNNNNNNAAAGACUUGGCAACAAUCAUUACAGAGUAUUCCAAAGGAGAUCAACUCCUUGGAAAUAUCCUUCUUGCAUUAAGUUUCCUUAAUCUUACACAGAUUGAAAAUUCUAACUUUGAAACAUUUCCAGAUUCCAUUUUGACUAUCACUUCUGAACAAGAGUUGCCUCCUUACAGAUUAUGUCAAUAUGGUCCUUCCAGAAUUAUCACUAUACUUCCAAUUGUCCUUGAGCAACCAAUCUUUGGUAAACCUUAGAUUGUCCUCGACAAUUGUUUAAUCCUUUUAGUCAUAUCCAGUUCUAAACCUUUUCCCUUCUUAAUGCCCCAGGCAUUUGGAAAAUUUUAGAACGGAUGAAUAUAGCACAUGUAAUCGAUCCUAUAUCCGAAGCAUAUGGGACACGAUUCAUGAUGUCUUACAUAAAGACUAAACCAGUCUUUUGCUAUAAUAUUUCCAUUUCAAUUUGCCAAGUUCUCAUAAUUCAGAUUAUGAAAAGGGAUGCCGUAAUCAUAAUCGAAUUUUAGAACGCAAAUAAUGGACCCAUAUACAGAAUUUCCUUAUGUUGAGCCAUUCCAACAUGAAAUUCAUAUAUAUCCUUGACUAAAUGAUUAAAACCUCACGAUCUAAGCUUAUAGAUUUGAGAUGAAGCAUAAUUUCCUCUCCCUUAAUUAUAGCAAAACAACUUUUUCCCAAUUGAAACUUUUGUUUUCUAUAAUUAACAUUGCUAACUUGCAAUACUUAUCAUAAUUAUCAUGCUCCCACUAACAUGAUGAUAAUUAACAUAACACUUAUGCUCCCACUAGCUUUGACAUGUGCUCAUAAAUUAGUUGGACUUCUAGAAAUCAAUACUUUAUUGACUUUCUUACCAAAGUUCAGAUUUAUGAUACUAGAUUGCUUUGAUAACACUUUAUCAGNAGAAGUCAAUACUUUACUGACUUUCUUACCAAAGUUCAGAUUUAUGAGACGAGAUUGCCUUGAUAACACUUUAUCAAAAUCAUACACCUUAUCUUAGAUAGCUCACAUGUGUCUAGACAAUUUUAGAACUAUGAAAAGGGAUGUCGUAAUCAUAGUCUCAAUUGUUUAGAUCUUUGCUAUUUGCUUCAAAAUCUACUUGGUGGAAGUGUUUCCUCACAAUUAUUUUCAUGAAUCGGAGAGAAACCUUAUGACCCUUAGAUUUUAUGGUGUAUGUGUUCUUAUCCAUGUGGAUUUGUCAAAACCAUCCUCACAAGAGAAGGAUAAUGACAAAUCCAAACUCAUAUGGACUGAACUCAAUCUAAAUUUCUUGCCACCUGGCGGCACAAGGGCCUGCCAUUGCUUCCAAGUUGUUGUGCAACCAAUUGAGAACUCUAAGAACUCAUAUGCAAAGCCAACAUUAAUUUGAAUGGGCACAGAAUAUGUCAACAUCAUAGGUUAUGAACCUCAAGUUGUGUGCUAGUGAAGAACUUCAGGUUUUAUUCUUGAUUAGUUCUUGAGACUUUCAAGACCUUUAAGACUCCCACUGUCCUCUUGACAUAUAAGACUCCUUUGUUAAAUAUUCAAGAGAUAGCGUGGAUUCUUUAUCAAGACUAACACUUUACACAAUUGGCCUAAGUUGGUCUCUGUUUUAUCCAAACCAUCACAUCUUACCAAUUUCAAAUGUACAAGAGUAGAUAAUCUUUUACUCUUACAUUUGACUAGUGUUAACAAACCCACUUCAAGAUAUGUCACUCAAGUUACAAUCUUGGAGUAUGACUCUAAGAAUUGUUUUGGAACGAACUAUGACUCAUCUUUUUGAUUUAACCAUUUCAACAAUUCAUGACUCCUCUUCUUAGUCAUAAGAAUGCACUAAGAUGACUUUAGAGGACCAAUUGUGAUAUGGUAUCUUAAUCAUUAAGAUGAUCAUAAACAUGAUACUAAAGUACUCUCCCAUCUUUUCAGAUUUGAGAAACUUUUAUCUUUCUGCCAUACUUUGGUUCUUCUUAUUCGUUCUGUCUCACAUUGAAACUUCUCCAAUGCUACAGACUUAUAGUUAAACUUAUAAGUAUAACCAUAUUUACAGAACUUAAGUAAAUCAUGACGAAUAGUCUUCUUUUUCUUUUGUGGUGGACUUUACCAGUGCACAACAAUGUGUACUCGAUCCCUUAGUCCUUUCCUUAUUCACAUAUGGGAAUUAGUCUUAAUUUUCCAAGCUGAAAGUUCUCAUUCAUCAUACUAUACAACUUGCAUGAUUCCAAGUUUCGAUCCACUUGAAACUUGAGUGAUGACAAUCUUUCCUUAUUUGAUAAAUUUAGACACUACCAUAAAUGAAAGAAUCAAAUUCACUUUCCAAUAUUGCUAUCAGUGGAAUAUUAUAAGCAACAACUUUUCACAAAUGCCAUUGUAAGGAUACUUAAAAUAAAUAAAAUCAAAACCUUUUUCUUUUAUUUUAAAACUUUGCGGAAAAACUUAUCCUUACAAUCCAUAUGAAAACCUUGUUGUUAUCUAUUCCUAAGAAAUAUAAAUAUCAUAACUGUUAAGUAAUAGCCCAAAAUUCUGAUCAUCGGACCAUGCGAUUGAAAUCCAUCUUCGCAAUCAGAAUCAGCAUGUACUUAAAAGAGUUAGACAAUGGACUUUACCUGAAAUAGAGCCAAACUUCUUGACUUUAACAUCCUUAGGUAAAUUUGGUAGCUUCGCAACCAAUUCCCCUUCCUUUGUGAAUAGUUAACUAUGGACCCUUGAUAAUGGGACUAUCUCAGACUUAGCCUCUCUCUUUACCAUUUGGUCAACCGAGUUAACGAUGGCCGAUCCCUUUCCAUUGGGAAGACAAAGCUUUAUUGGAUAUCUAAUGCAUCAUUCUCAAUGUCCACAACAUUUUAGGAAGUUGAUCUUAGCAAAUAGUUAAGAUCAUUAAGGGUCUUGUCUUAGUCUGUUUCAUAGGAUUCCCAAAAGAUCUCACUAUAUGACUUAGAAAGUAGUUGAGCGACCAACUUUCUCAAGACUUUGACACCAACUCUCCCAGCUUGUCAAUAUGUGACUACAUCUCCAAGAUGUGAUCACACCUUGACCUUGCCUUGCUAAUAGGGCUUGAGUGACCUUAAACUUUUUAGGAACUUGUGGGUUAGGGAGAAUAAUUGGAGGAGGUGACAAAAGUAUGAGUUCCAUGGGACAUCAUCUUCAUUUAGGAAAGCUUGUUUCAAGAGAUUUGGGAAGAUCAUAAAUGCCUAAACCAGACAUCUUUUGGGAGAUAUUCAAUAUAGUUGAUUUAAAGUCCUUAGUAUGACACCCAAUACGAAAUAUUAAGGCUAGGAUCCAACAAACUAUUUUAUAACUUAGAAGAGGGAUGCCUUAAUCCAAGCUAUAAAAUAUUUGAAGGUAAGUGAAUGACGAUUCACCAAUUUCCAUCAAGAUAAACGCAAUGUAUUAUUAGGUUUUAAUUGGUUUUGAAACUCCUAGUUCUUUGAGAUUCAUUGAACUUUUCAAUGGCAUGUUUCAAUCUCGAGUGUGCCCUUCAGGUUUUGUGACUGGGAUGCCGAGGAUCACAAAACAAGGUGUGAAGUAACCAUGCAAAUAUCCUUGGUACCCUUAAUAUUUACCCCUUAAUCGAUGUGCCGGUUAACCACACACGCUCCACCGAUACUAUGAUAAAUAUUAAGUUACCCUUUGCCUACCUUGUUAAGUCCAGGUUAGUGUGCCGGUUAACCACACACGCUCCACUAACGACUUAAACAAAGUGCAAAGUGUAAUUUCAUGGGUUAGCACCUUAUUCACAUUUUCCUAAGUAACUAAGAUUGGGUAUUAUUAAGAGUUUAGUUACUUAGUAUUUAUCAUUAAUACUUUUAAUGAAGGGAGAAUUAUAGUCCUGUCAAACCCGUUCGGCUAACGACCCUCCACCAGUCAAGCAAGCGGUGGGUGAGAGUGGACACCCAUUAAGUUGCCAUUUUAUAGGCAACAACCUUAUACCCACCUUAUAGACCGGCUUCGUGAAUGAGGCGUACUAGCGGUAAGACUGACUUUACUCUUAUACAUAUAUAUAUUAUUAACUUAUAAUAUUAUAAAGUAUAAGGGUUGAAUUUUAACUUUUAAAAUUCUAAGGGCUAACUUGGAAUUAAAGUAUUCAUAAGUGAAAACUUUACAAAUUCCAAAACUUGAGGGCAAGUUUUGAAACUAUUCAAAACUAAUUAAUUCCAUAACUUAUGUGUUUAAAGUAGUUUUAAUCCAAAAACUCUUCAAGUUCCAUAACUUGAGGACAAGUUAUGGAAGACUUUAAACUAAUUAAAACAAUGUAACUUUUCUUUAUUUUGUAACUUAUGGAAUUAAUUAAGGUUGCACUUUUAAUUACUUAAUGAAGUUACUCUUGAACCUCUAUAACUUUGAGGACAAGACUCUUCAUUUUUGUAACCAUUGCCAACUUUUAUGAGUUUUAUGAAACUUAAAUGUGACUCUUCAUAUAACUUGAGGACAAGUUACAAAAACACAUUUUAGAAUCAACUCUUAGAUUAAUUUGGAUUGAAAACAACUAUUUCACUCAACUUUUCUAUUAAUCUAAGCAACUCAUAAGAACAAGAUAAUUCAAAUCAAACUUUUUCAUGUAAUUAGUCUAAACCUUAAACUAAUACAAAACAUGAAUCUAUUGACAAUUAUCUUUGAAAUUGGAUUAGCAUGAACAUUACCACAUCAAAAACAAGUUUAUAAGUUCAAGAACAUCUUAGGGUAAUGUUCCUAGUCCAAUUCCAGCCAAAAAAUGUCGAAUUUUUUGCUGUCUAGGGGUCCAACUCGGCGAGUUGGAUCGUUUUGAUCACUUUUUAGGCAUGGAAUCGUCGAGUAUCUUGAUGGACUCGCCAAGUCUGAUGCCCAGAUAGCAACAACUUCGAUUUUUUAAGCAGUUUUGCAAGUAUAACAACAAAACAAGCCUAGGCUCUGAUAUCACUGUUGGGUUUUGAGCAUUCUAACACUCCUAAGCGUGCAUGCAACCCUAAAUACCUUGGAUCUAUGUUUUCUCUAUUAUACAUACAAAUAUGAAUAUCCAAGGUAUUACUCUAUCUAGCAUACAAUCAUUGAUACUUGGGUAAUCAAAUGGAUAGAAUACAUACCUUUGUUUGAAGUAGCUUAUCUUCAUGAAGCUUGAGUGCCUAGUGCCCCAAGUGUGACACCUCAAAUGGUUUACACAACAUCAUAUGCUUUUGGAACAACCUUGAGAGAAAUGUAGAACACUUGAAAUCGGCUAGCCAUUCUCUAUUAUACAUAGUGGCCGAUUUUUCCCAAAAAUAUGAUCUUUAUAUAGUGUCACACUUAGGGUAAACCCUAAUUGUCAUGGUUUUCCAUUUCCUUGGAUGCAUAGGUUCAAAUACACCAUGGAGCAUCCUAUGGGUUUUAGCCCAACUUGAUAAUCCAUGGAGCACUAGCCCACUCUACAAGUAUGGAUGAUUUACACAAUCAACCCAUAUAUUUAAUUAGUCUUCCUUUGAUCACCUAAUUAAUUCUAAAUUAAUUCUUGAUCAAUACUAAUUAAAUAAUCCUAUUAAUAUAUUAGAACUUAUAAUAUAUUAAUAAUCCUUAAGUGUUACUUCUGUCAUUAUAGUCUAUCCAAAUGCAUGAUGCCAUGCAACCCAAAUGGACCAUGCCGGGUCGGGUCAAGUCUUACCAAUUAUAGUUAUGGACUUAGACAUUAAUCCAACAGUCUCCCACUUGGAUAAGUCUAAAACUAUUAUUGCAAAUGACUUCAAGAACCAACCGGCAAUCGUAGCUCUCAAAAGCUUCUGUCGAACUCUGACCUUGUAGAUGAACUCUGACCUUUGUCAGUGACUUGUCCAUUAGAUAAGGGAUCAUAUAUUCCUCCAUUCUAGAUAUCAUAUGGACUGAGACAUGGAUUAUAAUCAUUCUCUCUGUCCAUUUGUUGUUUCCCGAUUUCCGAUUUAUGACGACUGACUAAUUGAACAAAUCAAAUCAGUCCUGGCCCGGCCGAGCAC
Molecule: long non-coding RNA, 8021 nt
Filed under: Lactuca sativa (garden lettuce)
Lineage: Eukaryota; Viridiplantae; Streptophyta; Magnoliopsida; Asterales; Asteraceae
Description: long non-coding RNA (LSAT_LNC004820)
Source: RNAcentral